Molecule: ribosomal RNA, 584 nt
Filed under: uncultured Mycoplasma sp.
Lineage: Bacteria; Bacillati; Mycoplasmatota; Mollicutes; Mycoplasmatales; Mycoplasmataceae
Description: bacterial SSU rRNA
Rfam family: Bacterial small subunit ribosomal RNA
Source: RNAcentral
CAUAUUUAACCUACGUGUGCGAGGAGGAUAGCAUCCCGAAAGGGGUAUUAAUACUUCAUAGGUUUAUAGCGUUAAAUUAAAGGGCGCUCCCGAAAGGGGGCGCUGCGCAUACAUGGGAAUAUGUCCUAUUAGGUAGUUGGCGGGGUAAAUGCCCACCAAGCCUGUGAUGGGUAGCUGGGCUGAGAGGUUGUACAGCCGCAAUGGGAUUGAGAUAUGGCCCAUAUUCCUACGGGAAGCAGCAGUGAGGAAUUUUUCACAAUGGACGAAAGUCUGAUGGAGCAAUACCACGUGAACGAUGAAUGUCUUCUGAUUGUAAAGUUCUUUUAUUUAGGAUAAAAAGCAUGAUAGGAAAUGAUUAUGCCUUGAUAGUACUAAAUGAAUAAGUGACAGCUAACUAUGUGCCAGCAGCUGCGGUAACACAUAGGUCACGAGCAUUAUCCGGAUUUAUUGGGCGUAAAGGAAGCGUAGGCGGACAGUCUGAUCCAGUGUUAAAUGCAUCUGCUCAACAGAUGUAUGCAUUGGAGAUCACCUGUCUAGAAUUAGUUAGGGGGUACUGGAAUUCAAUGUGGAGCGGUGGAAUGCGU